Molecule: long non-coding RNA, 447 nt
Organism: Lutra lutra (Eurasian river otter)
Lineage: Eukaryota; Metazoa; Chordata; Mammalia; Carnivora; Mustelidae
Exons: 4
Source: RefSeq, a predicted model, not a curated record
CAGUGCAGAAAAGAGAGGACCAAGGAAAUUGACUGCUAGGAAGAAGGAAGAACAGUUGUCAAGAAGGAAAGCUGCUGAGCUUGGACAGCACCUGCUAAUUGGCCAUAUAACAAGUUGGAAGGUUUAUACAGCAGUCAGAAGGCCCUCUCUUUCAAACAUCACGUUGACCCCUGAUGCCUGGUGUACCAAGCUGGGUGCCUCACCAGAGGAUGAUUCCUUCAGAAAUCUGAUGCUUCUGGAAAAACAAGACUGAGGGUCAAGACAAAGGUAAUUUCUGCUUUUAUGAAUCACAAACUCCUCCAAGGCAAGGAACUGAACAAAAAGUCCCGUCUAUCUGCUUGGAAGAAAGAUGAGAUGGAAGCACAGAAGUGCAUACGUGGCCAUUGAGCAGCAGCUAAAUCAAAGUAAAGAAAUUGCCACAAUUGGGAUAUACUCAGAAUUUAAAAC